GUUCUGGCCUUGAACUCACGAUGUAGUCCAGGCUGGCCUCAAACUGUGGCAAUCCUUCUGCCUCAGCCUCCCCAUUGCUGGGGUUAUAAGCGUGCACCACCACGCCUGGCUUUUUUUCUCUUUUAGCUCGCCCAGCCUCAGUCUGUCUGGAUCACCAUCCAGCACUGGUCCCAAAACACACGUUGCUCAGGGCUCAAGUCUUCGCAGGGCUCACUGCAGCGCCAGGAGCCUUUCCACACCUCCUGCCAACCUGGCCUCACCUGCUUGUCCUCCACUGCACAUUUCCCCUCAGGUCCCCUGGCCGCGCUCCGCCUGCCCAGUUUUCAUAAUCCUCUCAGGCUCCAGCGAGAGAGGCACCGCCCACCGCAGGGCCUGGUCACGUGAGGGAAACACUGCGGGCCCCAGGCUGCGGACGGAGCCUGGAGAGCCCUGUCCUGUUUCCCUCCGCGCUGAAGUCAGGCUGUCAGGAAACCUGGCCCGUCUCCCGCUAAGCGACCUAGACCUCCACCCUCGCAUCACUACAUGCGAAUUAUACCUCUGCAUGAUUUGAGGCAAGCUGUCUGCAGGACUUACUGCAUUAUAGGUUGGAAGACGAGGAGGUGCUGUCAUCGUUCAUUACAUCAGCAAGCGCUCGUGGAGAACCUGCCACACCAACAGACCAGACUGGAUGCUUUGGAUCCAGUCUCUGGCUCAGCUGUCCUGUGAGGGAGCAGCCACAGGGAGACAAACGGCACUUCCUGUGCACUUCGAGCAGCUGGCUAUUUACAAGAGCCCCUGGUCACACAGGGAUCGAACUUGGGACCUUGCGCUUGCCAGGCAGGUGGCGGAACCACUGAGCUAAAUCCCUGGCUCGGCUGAGUGAAUUUUUGAUAGGACAAAUGUCCCACUGCGUUAUCUGCGUGAGGGGGAAGUCAGCCUGUGAAUUGUGGAUACAAAAGUCCCUUUUCCCCUUAUCCUCAGCUGGGAGACUUUUCCCUGGCUCACUCUCACCCUGUAGAGUGUACCUCUUUUCUACCUUCAAUAAAUGUACCAUUUUGCUGC
This 1041-nucleotide long non-coding RNA is filed under the name Heterocephalus glaber (naked mole-rat). Its description in RNAcentral is "lncRNA (ENSHGLG00000032681.1)". The record is from RNAcentral. Lineage: Eukaryota; Metazoa; Chordata; Mammalia; Rodentia; Bathyergidae.